Musca domestica (house fly) is the source of this 731-nucleotide long non-coding RNA. RefSeq lists it as uncharacterized. Lineage: Eukaryota; Metazoa; Arthropoda; Insecta; Diptera; Muscidae. The record is from RefSeq and is a predicted model, not a curated record. The transcript is spliced from 3 exons.
UAUAAAAAGAAGAGAAAUAAAAAAUUGUUUGAAGAAUAAAGAAAUCAUAUAGAUUCAAAUAAAUUAAAUCCUGAAGAAAAUGAAAAUAUCGUUAAAUAAGAACGAGAAGCCACCAGCUGGAAUUAUAAGAAAAUUAGUAUCCUUGGAAUAUGGUGACGAAUUGAAAGCACGUCAUUGGUGCGGUAUCAAUGAAAAUCGAAUGAUGUAAAAUGGAUCCAUAAAAAAAUUCAGAAUUCAAAACACUUUUUUGGGAUUCAAAUGCAUUUCAAUUUCAAUGCCAAAUUAAGGUUUAGAAAAUUGAGAAAGAAACACUGCCCUUAAGAUUCCCGCUGCUACAAAUUUUCCAGAAAUAACAUCGGAUAUCCAUCACUUAAUUAACAGAUAAAUUAAGAGUGCAUAUGAAAUUUUUAAUCUGUUGACGGGGAAUAUGAUGAAGCUAUUCUAUCUUCAUCAUAUUCCCCGUCAACAGGUCCGGAGACUACGUUGGAUUAUUUGGAUCGAGGAAUUUAUGCUGAACACGAAUACAUUAAUAUUCUUUAUGGGCUUUUAAAGAUUCUUAUGGAGUUUGGUAUAAAAAUGUACGAAAUCUGAGAAUCCUCUAAAAUAUUGAAUGAAAGAAGAAAAUUUUAAUUUAUUAAUUAAUAACUGUUAGCAUCACUUAACUGGGACAAUAAUAAAGGAGUUUGCGGCACAUAGUUACAAUGUUGCAUUACAAGCGCUAUAAUAAAGCA